AUUGGGCGUAAAGCGUCCGCAGGCGGCCCUUCAAGUCUGCUGUUAAAAAGUGGAGCUUAACUCCAUCAUGGCAGUGGAAACUGUUGGGCUUGAGUGUGGUAGGGGCAGAGGGAAUUCCCGGUGUAGCGGUGAAAUGCGUAGAUAUCGGGAAGAACACCAGUGGCGAAGGCGCUCUGCUGGGCCAUCACUGACGCUCAUGGACGAAAGCCAGGGGAGCGAAAG
This 222-nucleotide ribosomal RNA is filed under the name uncultured bacterium. Its description in RNAcentral is "partial 16S ribosomal RNA". It matches the Rfam family "Bacterial small subunit ribosomal RNA", at positions 553 to 774 of the family's 1533-position model. The record is from RNAcentral.